Molecule: long non-coding RNA, 7106 nt
Filed under: Homo sapiens (human)
Lineage: Eukaryota; Metazoa; Chordata; Mammalia; Primates; Hominidae
Description: HSALNT0353716
Source: RNAcentral
UGCUGGGAUUACAGGCGUGAGCCACUGUGCCCAACCAGGUGUUCUUAAAUAUAAUUUUUUAUCUCCUUUCCUACCAAGAGGGGUUUUUAGAACUGUUUGCUUGGCAGGUGAAGAAUCUGCACGUUGUGGUUCUUUAUUACUGAAUGAGAAAAUACCAGACUUUACCUUAGCUUUAUUUGUUCCCCAGUUCAACGGAAUUUAACCUUAGAAUUUCCUAAAGAUGCUUUCUAAAAGUUUUUUAUUUCUCUAAGUGUCAUAGUACUGCAUUUAUGAAUCCCAAAUUGGCUUCCACUGUCUAUUUAAACUUGAUAUAAGAUACAGGAAGAUUAUUUUGUCACCACCCUCUUUCUAUUCCAAACACUAUUUACAUGAAGGAAACUUUAGUAAGAGAAGAUAUUUUGGAAAAGAUUUUGUAACCAACUUACACUUGUGUCUGUUUUUGUUUUUUUUGGUUUAAAUUCAAGGGGAGGCCAAGCGUGAUGGCUCAUGCCUGUAAUCCUAACACUUCGGGAGGCCAACACGGGUGGACCGCUUGAGCUCCGGAGUUCCAGAGGAGCCUGGGCAACAUGGUGAAACCCUGUCUCUACCAAAAAUACAAAAACAUUGCCCAGAUGUGGUGGCAUGCACCUGUGGUCCCAGCUAUUUGAGAAGCUAAGGUUGUAAAAGAAAAUCAACACUUAAGAUUUUACUAAGAGAUCAUUCAACUUCAAAUCUGAAGCACAAGAAGUCAGCAAAAUUAAAUGGCUAUCAUUGAUUUGAGAAUGGAUUUUCACUUACAUUUUAAAUUAAAUUGCUAACACUACAAAGUGUUUAAGGAAAACAUGAACAUUUCUGUUUUACUUCAGUUGUGAAGAGACUCUAAUUUCCAUCUCUGUUUAGAAAUUCCUAAAUGUGCAAAUAUAGGUUCUUUGCAAGCAGAACCACCAAGUAGUCCUUGGCACACAGAAUUUAUAAACCUAAAGAGAAUAUUGAAUGGAAAACUUAGAGAACAGUUGGAAUGGGAGAUACCAUUAUCCCAAGUCCAAUGGUUGGUUACCAAAUAGCUUUUCGAUUCUCUCCAAAUUAAGCUCACACCAACAGUUUUGUAUUGUGAGGCAGCUGGUUCUGUUGCUUUUCCUCCCCUGCUCUGCUCCUUCUCUGUCCUUCUGUAGCUGCAAGCCUCAGGGGUUGACCCACGCAGGCUGUGCUCACUGAUGUCCUUCUCUUGCUUUUGGUUGGAUUUCGUCAGCAGGUGAAGCCCAGGGAGCAAAAAGAGGGAGUUGCCAGAUUAUUUCUACCUCCACGCCCUCCCUGCCUGUCAAGGACUGAGUCCCAGGAAGAUGCCAGCUCCAGUGCUUUCCCGCUCUUGCCGUCUCAGGCCACUCUGGCUGGCCGCUGGGUCCCUCAACAUCCCCUGUUGGUUCCUUUAGCCCAGCCUACACCGCUGGAAAUAGGCCCUUUAUGAGAUUCUCUUCUAAAUCCUAGAAGAGUGUACCCUCCAUUUCCUGAAGAAUCCUGACAAGUAUGUAAACAUUACUUAAUAAUUGUUAGGUAAAAAUACUAUAAAUAUUAAAUUUAUAAGUAAAUAAAAAUAUUUAAUUUUACAUAAGACAAAGCUAAAAAUUUCAGUUUAUAAUUUUUAAACAUAGACAAUAAAUUUCCCAGAAAGAAAUUGCUGACUACCAACCAAAUUUUCAUUUUUAUUUUUUAAAUGUUGGAAAAAUUUUGUCAGAAAGAUUCUUAUCAACCAAUCAAAUUGUGUUAGCAGUUGUGUUAGUAGUCACAAGGAAAAUAAUCAGUCAUAUUAGUUUUCUUACUAUUGUUCAUAUUUUGUCUUUCAAAAAUAGGUGUAAUGUACAAAUACUUCUUAAUUAGAUAUGCUUAAAUAAAACAUUUCAUAUUGUAUUGAUUUGGGUAUAUUGUAGAAAAUAAAAAGUUCCUCUUCAAAGCUUCCCUUCUUGUUAAAGAAUAAAUCAUAAGUGUUAGAAUUAACAGUUUCUUUUAAAGACUAACUUUAUGCUAGACAUGCUCACAGACACGUAGUACAUUCUAUGUCCUCGUACUUUAACCAAGAUAUCUGUGCUAGACGUGCACACAGGCAUGUCUCAGCUCGCAGCCUAUGCCCUUUCCUUAUUUGGGAAUGUUUAUUCCUUAUUUGGAAAUGUUAUUACUUUUCUAAGUCCUUUCGUAAGCAACUUCAUUUUUUUUCCUUUGUUUUUCUAUUGCCUUUACCUGUUUAAAAAAGUUUUAAACUGUUAGCCAAUCGGGUUUUAGUUUAGAUUGUGAGGUCUGGCUCCAGCCAAUGGAGACAGGACACAGUAGCAGGGACAAACUGGGUAAGGGAUAAAAAUUGCUUCGCUCCAUUGUUCCGGGGUGCUCUCGCCAUUGUUCCAACUGCCAUAAACACCCUUUCUGCAGAAAGCAAAAAUGGCCUUGCUGAGAGAAUUAAAUUUAUGUUCGAGUGCUAUUUCUUUGUGGCACUGGGGAACAAGCAUUCUAUUUCUAAAUAAACAUUUUUACGUAUAACAGUACUGAAUAUAACCAUGGACUGUUUGCAAAUUAUAUUGGAAUCAUGUAGACACAGCUUUAAUAAUGGAUAAUAUAAUUAUUACUUUUUCUAGCCAAAAAUCAGGAGCAGACUAUGUAUACAAGUCUGGAAUGGAGGACUUUCCAUUCUAGAAGAAAGAGUGGCCAUUUUCAACUCUUCUUCCUUUUGAGACCUCACUAAAAUUAGAGGAACAGAAUUUAAAAAUACAUUACAUCUCCAUGAUAAAGAGAACAGGAAAGGAAAUAUCAACAGACAAGGGGAUUUGACAGAUAUUUUUGGAGGGAAGAAACGGUGGAGCAGAGGUAAUUAAGCCGAUUGGAGAGAGGCUGUCCUGCAGACCGAGUGAGACAAGGUCCUGGCACUGGAGAGGCUGCUGCCUGGAUCCCUCCCCCAACACAAGAAAUCAGGAAAUCACCACUCCUCUUGCCCCAGGCCAGAGACUAGGUUUCUGUAGACAUGGAAGGUAGAGGCUGCGGACCUGGACCCCAGACACAGGUGAGAGGAGAGGCUUUGCGCUAAAGAGAGAGAGAGAGAGAAAAGGAGGUGGGGAAGAAGAAAGGAAAGAAAGGAGGAAGAGAGAAGGCCAGGCGCGGUGGCUCACGUCUGUAAUCCCAGCACUUUGGGAGGCCGAGGCGGGCGGAUCACGAGGUCAGGAGAUCGAGACCAUCCUGGCUAACACGGUGAAACCCCGUCUCUACUAAAAACACAAAAAAUUAGCCGGGCGUGGUCGCGGGCGCCUGUAGUCCCAGCUACUCGGGAGGCUGAGGCAGGAGAACGGCGUGAACCCGGGAGGCAGAGCUUGCAGUGAGCCAAGAUCGGGCCACUGCACUCCACCCUGGGUGACAGAGCGAAACAACGUCUCAGAAAAAAAGAAAGAAAGAAAGGAGGAAGAGAGAAAAGGAGCGUGGAAAGAAAAGAAAAUUUCAGGAGCUUCUACAUUGGUUAUGCCAGCAGAAACAGUUAAGCCAUGGAAACUGAGUCACAUACACGCUGUUUUUCUUCUCUGGUGCAUGACCUUUGCUUCUGACCUUUGUGUUGAGAUGUUAUGAAUUAACCACCCUUCCUAUUCUUCAUUCAAACCUCAACUAAAUGACAUUGGAGAUAGAGACCCUUACCUCUUUACGAUGGAUGUUAAGUAACUCCCAUAGAGUAUAGUCAAUGGUGGCCAGCCAACUUGUGUGUGUGUGUUUUAUAUCUUAUAUUUAAAAAAUGAAAAAAAUGUUGUAAUUCUGGCCAGAUACGUGGCUCACAACUGCAAUCCCAGCACUUUGGGAGGCCAAGGUAGGCGGAUCACUUGAGGCCAGAAGUUCGAGACCAGCCUGGCCAACAGGGUAAAACUCUGUGUCUACUAAAAAUACAAAAAAUUAGCCAGGCGGGCAUGGUGGCGCACGCCUGUUAUCCCAGCUGCUCGGAUGACUGAGGCUUGAGAAUCCCUUGAACCUGGGAGGUGGAGUUUGCAGUGAGCCAAGAUCAUGCCACUGCCCUCCAGCCUGAGCAACAAAGCAAGACUUUGUCUCCGAAAAAAAAAGAGCAUGUUGUAAUUCUGUUCAGCACCCCUGUUUUUUGCUUAUAUGAAUGAUCUUCACCUUUCCCCGCACUGAGGAGUGAUGAUCACCAUUCUUUGGUGUCUGCUACCCUAACACUUGGCGCUUGAAUAAACUCUUUUAAGUGGAGCCUGAGCCUUUUGAUUAUUUUAGGUUGACAGGAGGAAGGGAGGAAGGGUGGGUUAAAAUUAAAUCUGCAUACUAAGCAAUAAUAUCCUUGCUGCUCUUCUUCAACUGUUUGUAGGUUAUUUCUGCUCUCAGGCUUCUGUUCUACCCCUAACUCUCCUGGCUACCCAAAGGCCGGAGGUUAUCUACUGGGGAAAUCUCAAAAGACUGUAGAAAAAAUGUCUCAAAUUCUGGUUUUGGGAGUCUUCCAAAAAAAAAUUUUUUUUAAUUUGGCUUGCCUCUUGAAUAUCCUAUAGAGAAGUCCCAAACUGACAAACCUGGGCUGUCCUCCCAGAUGCUCUACUGAGCUGUCAGUCUCUCCCUCUGGAAUGGGAAUAGAGCACCAAGCAUAACCUGUUAUUUGAAGAAAGGCUGCUACACUACACACGGACCCAAAUGAACAAAUAUCAGGAGAACAGAAGUUAGGGGAAACAGAAGUGAUGAAGAGAACAGAAUAAAAGUUUUAUUUUAAAAUUAUUAUUAUUAUUAUUAUUAUUAUUAUUAUUUGAGACCAAGUCUCACUGUGUCGCCCAGGCUGGAGUGCAAUGGCAUGAUCUUGGCUCACUGCAAACUCUGCCUUCUGGGUUCAAGCAAUUCUUGUGCCUCAGCCUCCCAAGUAGCUGGGAUUACAGUUACCCGCCACCAAGCCCAGCUAAUUUUUGUAUUUUUAGUAGAGAUGGGGUUUCACCAUGUUGGCCAGACUGGUCUCAAACUCCUGACCUCAAGUAAUCCACCUGCCUCAGCAUCCCAAAGCACUAGGAUUACAGGCAUGAGCCACCGCACCUGGCCAGAAUAAAACUUUUAAUAUCUUUUAUUAACACCGCACCCAGCCAGAAUAAAACUUCUAAAAUCUUUUAUUACUAUCAUCAGAUAAAAUAAGACAUUACAUUCAUGAAACAGAACAGGUAUUAGAAUAUAAGAGAGAAGAAAAUCCUCAAACAAAAUUGUGGCAGCUGAACUAAAAACAUCAAAUAAGGAUUGGAGUGUAAUAUUAAAGAAAUUUCCCAGGAAGCAGAACAAAAAGAAAGUAAAAUAGAAAAGGAUAAUAGAGCAAGUGCAAUUAAUUCAGAGAAUCAAUCCAGAAGGCCCUGAUACCUGACUGAAUAGGGUUCCAGAAAGAGGAACAGAGAAAAAGGAUGUGAAGAGUUGCAUUGAUAAUAGUACUACUAACACUAUUUUUUGUUCUUUGUCUUCAAGAAAACCUCUCAGAGUUGCAGUGUAUGAGUCUCUGGAUUGAAAGGGCUCAAUAGAUGCCCAGCAUAACGAUGAAGAGGACCCACAUCUAGACAUAUAUUGGCCUGAAAUUUUCAUGUAUUUGGGAUCAAGAGAAAAUCCUGAAAGCUUGUAAAUUAAUGCUGUUCAAUAUGGUGGUCAUUAGCCACGGCUGACUGUUCAGCACUGGAGAUGUGGCCACUCUGAAUGGAGAUGUGCUGUAAGUGUAAAAUAGACACUGAAUUUUGGUGGGCUCAGUAGAAAAAAAAAGAGUAAAAUGUCUCAUUAAUAUUUUUCAUUUUGAAAACAUGUUGAAAUGAUUUUGUAUAUAUAUAUUUUUUUUAAUUAAUUUUUUUUUUUUUGAGAUGGAGUCUCACUCUAUGGCCCAGGCUGGAGUGCAGUAGCGCAAUCUUGGCUCACUGCAACCUCCACCUCCCUGGUUCAAGCAAUUCUCCUGCCUCAGCCUCCUGAGUAGCUGGGACUGCAGGCAUGCGCCACUAUGCCCUGCUAAUUUUUGUAUUUUUAGUAGAGACGGAGUUUCACCAUAUUGGUCAGGCUGGUCUUGAACUCCUGACCUCGUGAUCUACCCACCUCGGCCUCCCAAAGUGCUGGGAUUACAGGCCUGAGCCACCACGCCUGGCCGAAAUAAUAUAUUUUUUAAACAUUGGGCUAAAUAUAACAUAUUAUUACAACUACUUCCAGUUGUUUCUUUUUAUUUUAAGGUGGCUCCUGGAAAAUUUUAGAUGACAUAGACGGUUUCUGUUCUGUGUCUGUUAGACGGUGCUCUGCAGAGAAGCAGACAGGUCAUGCAUAAGGACACUGAGGCCAGAAUGAUAUCUGACCUUCAGCAGCAGCUCUAGGAAACUGAAGAAAAAUGAUCCCCCUAUUCAGAGAGAAAUAGUUUUCAACCUUAGUAGUCUACAUUCUGGCAAACUUUCAGUCAACUGAAAGACAGUUAGAGACAUGCAAGCACACAAAAGUUUACCUUCUUUGCUGUCUCCUUGAACGUUCCUGAAGGAAGUACCCCAGGAAAUAAACUUGUAAACCAAUGGCAUGGAAGGCAUGGGAUUUAAAAGCAGGAUGUCCAGUAUAGGACUCGGAGCAAGUUGUGCAGCAGGUCCAGGAAGCAGACAAGCCCGUGCAGAACAGGAAGUCAGGGGGCUCAGUGGGAAGUCAUGGCACCAGUGGAUUUGCUGACAUAGGGAGUCUUCUGGCUCAUUGGAAGACACGUAUGUAGACAACAAAGUUAUUUUUUGAGAGGUGAUAAUUUAAGAAAAAAGUUGUACUCUUCCUGGCUCAUGUGAACAGUAUCUAUAUGACACAAAUAAUAAUGUGAACUCAAAGACUGUGUGGUAUGCUUACACCAGGGGAAUGGGGGAGGGAGAGCAAAGUGCACUUGAGUUAGAUAACAUCUGUCAAGACAGGGAGAAAAAAGAUAAUGUCUAAAAUAAAUAACAGCACAUGCAUACUCCUUAGGAAUUGGAAGGUAAAUGGCAGAAGAAAUGGCUUAACAAUUUGUACGUGGUUUCUUGUGACUUCUUAUGACUGUAUAAGACCAGGGAGCAAUAGGGAGGGGAGGCACAAGGGAUGCUAUUUUGUUUCUAUUACUAUUUGAUUUUGUAAAACUAUACACAUCAAUUAAAAUGAUAAAUAUUAUA